GGAGGCUGUCCUGGAACUAGCUCUUGUAGACCAGGCUGGUCUUGAACUCUGAUCUGGCUGGCUAGGUGGGUGUUCCCUUCCUCCCUCACUGCUCCAUGUGUGUCCCUCCCAAAGCUGCGCGCUUGGUCAAAGAGGACGACCUUCCCCAAAUAGAGGAGGACCGGUCUUCGGUCAAGGGUCUACGAGUAGCUGCGCUCCCCUGCAAGAACCUCCAAACAAGCUCUCAUGGUUUUGGUUUUUCGAGACAGGGUUUCUCUGUAUUGUUUUGGAGGCUGUCCUGGAACUAGCUCUGUAGACCAGACUGGCCUCAAACUU
Molecule: unclassified non-coding RNA, 315 nt
Organism: Mesocricetus auratus (golden hamster)
Lineage: Eukaryota; Metazoa; Chordata; Mammalia; Rodentia; Cricetidae
Gene: 7SK
Rfam family: 7SK RNA
About the family: 7SK was discovered as an abundant small nuclear RNA in the mid-70s but a possible function has only recently been suggested.
Source: Ensembl